UUGGAUCCAGACUUUGAUUAUGGCUCAGGAUGAACGCUAGCUACAGGCUUAACACAUGCAAGUCGAGGGGAAACGACAUCGAAAGCUUGCUUUUGAUGGGCGUCGACCGGCGCACGGGUGAGUAACGCGUAUCCAACCUGCCCAUCACUUGGGAAUAACCUUGCGAAAGUAAGACUAAUACCCAAUGACAUCCCACGAAGGCAUCCGAAUGGGAUUAAAGAUUUAUCGGUGAUGGAUGGGGAUGCGUCUGAUUAGCUUGUUGGCGGGGUAACGGCCCACCAAGGCAACGAUCAGUAGGGGUUCUGAGAGGAAGGUCCCCCACAUUGGAACUGAGACACGGUCCAAACUCCUACGGGAGGCAGCAGUGAGGAAUAUUGGUCAAUGGGCGAGAGCCUGAACCAGCCAAGUAGCGUGCAGGAUGACGGCCCUAUGGGUUGUAAACUGCUUUUAUAAGGGAAUAAAGUGAGUCUCGUGAGACUUUUUGCAUGUACCUUAUGAAUAAGGACCGGCUAAUUCCGUGCCAGCAGCCGCGGUAAUACGGAAGGUCCGGGCGUUAUCCGGAUUUAUUGGGUUUAAAGGGAGCGUAGGCCGGAGAUUAAGCGUGUUGUGAAAUGUAGAGGCUCAACCUCUGCACUGCAGCGCGAACUGGUCUUCUUGAGUACGCACAACGUGGGCGGAAUUCGUGGUGUAGCGGUGAAAUGCUUAGAUAUCACGAAGAACUCCGAUUGCGAAGGCAGCUCACGGGAGCGCAACUGACGCUGAAGCUCGAAAGUGCGGGUAUCGAACAGGAUUAGAUACCCUGGUAGUCCGCACGGUAAACGAUGGAUGCCCGCUGUUGGCCUGAAUAGGUCAGCGGCCAAGCGAAAGCAUUAAGCAUCCCACCUGGGGAGUACGCCGGCAACGGUGCAACUCAAAUGAAUUGACGGA
Molecule: ribosomal RNA, 927 nt
Filed under: uncultured bacterium
Lineage: Bacteria
Also listed under: 1 other name
Description: bacterial SSU rRNA
Rfam family: Bacterial small subunit ribosomal RNA
Source: RNAcentral